UGGGGAAAUUGUUUAAUUACAAAUCUGAAAUUUCAGUUUUUAUCCUUUUAAACUGGUGUACCACCAAAAAUUGCAUGAAUUGCUAUGCAAACCCAAUUUCAACCACCCAAAAGCACUGGCAAUGCAAACAAGACAAUGUUUAAAAAUGUUUUAUUAAUAUCAGUUGAUCAUUGGACCCAACGACCUAAAAUGUUUUACAACUUAAUAAACCUCAUCUAAAGUUAUUUCAACUAUCACCAUUUCUACAUUAAUCAAUUUGACAAAAUAUUAUAAACAAAUCAAAUAAGCGGGCUUUCCACUCUGGGUUAAUCUCCAACCUCUUUUUUUAGCUUCGACUGUUGUUGCAUAUUAAAGUAUGCCAAAUUGAACUACUGAAAUUGAUGGGCAAAUCAUUUUACUGCAUUCCAGAAGAAAAUUUUGUUCAAUGGUUUAAUAAUCGGGGACGCUUUUUGUGUAUGUUGUAAUCAAAUCAAAUCAAUCUUCUUUCUGAGUUUUUUAUUUAAUUUCCAGUUUUUAUAGUACUUUCUAAAUUGUAUCUAUACAUCACUAUUGAAUGCCCGAAUUUUUUUUAAUUUAUUUUUUCCGGUCAAAAUUCUAACUACGUUGUUCUCAUGAAAUGCUUACUAAAAAUACUGUCAUUUAUGUAU
This 647-nucleotide long non-coding RNA is filed under the name Mytilus galloprovincialis (Mediterranean mussel). The record is from RNAcentral. Lineage: Eukaryota; Metazoa; Mollusca; Bivalvia; Mytilida; Mytilidae.